GCCCUGGUGGUGUAGCUGGUUAUCAUCAGAGACUGUCACUCUCUGGACCCGGGUUCAAUUCCCGGCUAGGGCGCCA
Molecule: transfer RNA, 76 nt
Filed under: archaeon
Lineage: Archaea
Also listed under: 1 other name
Description: tRNA-Asp
Rfam family: tRNA
About the family: Transfer RNA (tRNA) molecules are approximately 80 nucleotides in length. Their secondary structure includes four short double-helical elements and three loops (D, anti-codon, and T loops). Further hydrogen bonds mediate the characteristic L-shaped molecular structure. tRNAs have two regions of fundamental functional importance: the anti-codon, which is responsible for specific mRNA codon recognition, and the 3' end, to which the tRNAs corresponding amino acid is attached (by aminoacyl-tRNA synthetases). tRNAs cope with the degeneracy of the genetic code in two manners: having more than one tRNA (with a specific anti-codon) for a particular amino acid; and 'wobble' base-pairing, i.e. permitting non-standard base-pairing at the 3rd anti-codon position.
Source: RNAcentral